Molecule: long non-coding RNA, 2369 nt
Filed under: Musa acuminata (dwarf banana)
Lineage: Eukaryota; Viridiplantae; Streptophyta; Magnoliopsida; Zingiberales; Musaceae
Description: long non-coding RNA (MACU_LNC007129)
Source: RNAcentral
CGAAAACUGUUGAUGGCUCCUUCUUGGCCUCGCGUUUCAUGAGAGACUGGUAGAACUCAACCAGCUCAGGUGCUCGAUGGACCUUGUCGCCGCCGGGCGUCUUCGAUAGCCCACCGGGGGGAGGAGGAGGCCGCGGUGGAGGAGGCGGCGCGCCAGGACGUGGUGGCAACGGUGGAGGUGGUGGCACACCACUUGAACUGUUGGUGGAGCUCGGAGCACCACCACCAGAUGAUGGCUUCGGAGGCGGUCGGGGCACCCUCGGCGCCCUCUUCUCGAUCUGUGCAAGCUGCAUCUUGCUCACCACUGAGCUAUCGAUUUUGCUGCCGUUAGGUUGCUCACCUGGUUCAGUGGCUGCAGGUACCUUCUCCUUUAUCAGGGCAAGCUUUGGAGGCAAUGCUGCCUUCGUCCUCGACUCUGUGCAUGGAUUCAGAGCCGAGUUGUGGCUGAAACGUUCUGCUCGAGCUUGCUCGGCUUUCUCCUUGAUUUGCUUCUCUCUUUCCAUUGCCAGCUUAUGCCGGUCUUUGAACGCAGGAUACUUCUCUUCAGCCACUCCCUCCACCGACUUUGACAUCAAGUGGAAGGACGCAGCGACAUUGUUCAGCUGCUCAUCCGAGGAGACCUGCGUCCUAAUGCGCGGAAGAUUGGCUUCCUCCAAGAACUCAUUCGGGUCCUGCUCCUUCUUCCCGUAGGUGGUGAUGGCGACGCCAUCUCCGGCGUUUCUGAGCAUGAGCGUCUCCAAUGGCCCUCUCGAUCUCUGGCUGCUCCUCAUCGGGGAGCGGUCGCCCAGCGAGCGCGUCGGGGAGGAGGAGACGCUAGCGUCAUCCUUGCUCUUCCCCCACCUCCUCAGCUUCUGGAUCAGACCUUGCUUCUUGCUCACGGAGCUGAGCCUACUGGAGAAGCUGUCCACCGAGGCGUUGUCGAAGUCUUCACUUCCCGGAGAAGAAGGCAUGGAAGAGACGCUCUCCAUGUCAGUGUCGCCUUGUCCGCGCUCCGAUCCGGCGUACUCCAUCAGCAGCCGCUUGGCUUUCUCCUGAGACUUGGGGCUGAGGCUCUUGUUGAGAUCUCGAGCUGAGACUUUGCCGGAAGGUGUUUGGUGGUUCCGGAGCUCGUACCUCAGGCAUGCAUUGACCCACCUCAGGUAGACCAACUCCUCCACUUCACUGAACCUGUUCAUCUGUAGGCCUUCUACUUGCUUGGAUAAAUCUUCAUUCGCAUGCCUUAGAUUAUUAAUCUCCUGCCUGGCCUGAGCCACCAGUUCGGUCUGCACAUGCAAGAGGCAACAUGAUCAUAGUUUGAGGAGGAUAUCAUGACUUGAAAUAAUCUGCUUCUGAUAAAUCUUUCUUUUGAGAAAUACUAGUGUGAUAUCAACUCAUAAAACUUUGAGAUCAAAAGAACAAUCAAGAGAAUCAACAAUUAAACAUGAAUAAUUAUGUAAGAUUUGUUUUUGGCAUAUUUUAAUAUGACUCCAUUUAAUAAAAAAACUUCUACAUAAACUGAAUCCAAGCACAAACUUUCUAUACACCAUUUUAUAAAAAAAAUAAUAAUAAUAAUUUUCUCUUUUAGUCUCUCUAAAUCAGAUAUAUAAAUCCUCCUCCUACACAAAACUUGACAUGCCUAAAUUAUUUUAUAGAGCAUCCAAUCUUUAAUUUUCAAAUAUUUCUUUCAUUUAUAUAGAAAUAUUUUUUAUAUUUGUAUAUAUUUCCUCCAAAAAGCCUGAUUCUAAUUAAGAAAUAAAAAGAUGCUUUUCAAACCUAACAAAUCAUAACCUUUCAACACCAGCCACCUGCAUUAUUAUUUGCUCAUUGUAAAGAUUUUGAACUUUAUCAAUAGCAGAAAGUAUAAAUAAUAGUUCCAGGACCCACUUACAAAAGACAAAUCCAAGAUAAGUUUGUCGUAGCAAAACAUAGAAUGUGGAUAAAGCAUAGCCACAGGCAUGGCACUCCUACAGCCACAACGUUUCUUCCAUCUCAUGAACACAAGAAGGAGCACAAAGGGCAAUCUUUUGAAGCCAGCAUUGAAUCCAACAUACCUCUGUCAUGUUGGAAAGAGCAGCCGCUUUGGAUUCAGCUGCAUCCAGCUUCACGACCAGCUCUCUCUUCUCAUGUUGCAGUUCCUUGUUCUUCCUCCUCAGUUCCAGAACCUCCACCUCCAAAUCCUUCACAGCCUUGAGCCUCUUCUCCACUUCCACCUCCUUCUUCGCAGCCUCCUCCUCCUUCGCCUGGAGGCUGGUCACCUGCUGCUUCAGCAGCAGCAGCUGCCCCUUGGUCUGGCUUGCAGCCUGCUGAAUCUGCCGCUGCAGUUCCCUGAUCUUGCUCCUCGCCACCUCCAGUUCCUUCUUUGCCGAGACGCCCUGCGCGACCUCGUCUUGG